This 196-nucleotide ribosomal RNA is filed under the name uncultured bacterium. RNAcentral's name for it is "partial 16S ribosomal RNA". It matches the Rfam family "Bacterial small subunit ribosomal RNA", at positions 338 to 524 of the family's 1533-position model. The record is from RNAcentral.
CCUACGGGAGGCAGCAGUCGAGAAGCUUCGGCAAUGGGCGAAAGCCUGACCGAGCGACGCCACGUGAGCGAAGAAGGCCCUAUGGGUUGUAAAGCUCUGUCAGAUUGGGAAGAAAGCUUCGGGGUUAAUACCCCCGGAGUGUGACGGUACCAUCAGAGGAAGCACCGGCUAACCCCGUGCCAGCAGCCGCGGUAAU